RNAcentral lists this long non-coding RNA (1189 nucleotides) under Equus caballus (horse). RNAcentral describes it as "lncRNA (ENSECAG00000050142.1)". The record is from RNAcentral. Lineage: Eukaryota; Metazoa; Chordata; Mammalia; Perissodactyla; Equidae.
AGACAGAGGGAAGACUGUGUGAGGACACAAUGAGAAGACAGCCGUCUGCAAGCCAAGAAGAGAGGCCUCGGAAGAAACCAACCCUGCCAACACCUUGAUCAUGGACAACUAGCCUCUAGAAUUGUUCUGUUUCUCUGGAGAACCCUGACUAAUAUACAUUCCUAGCCUCCUUCUUACCUCAAGACCUUUGCACCUGCUAGUCCCUCUACUCAGAAUGCUCCUUCUCACCUCCCAUCGUAUCAAAGGUAGCCCCCUUCACAGUAUGAUGCGAAGCUCAGAUGACAGAAAAGAAAUGAUUAAAACAAUUGACUUCACGUAAGUAUGAAAAAAAAAAUCUGCAAGGUAAAAAAAUCACCCUGAACAAAAUCAAGACAAAUGAUACUUUAGAAAAUAAAUUAAGUAAUAAAUAAUGCUUUUUUCAUUGUUUUAAAUUGAGGUAACAUUGGUUUAUAACAUUAUAUAAAUUUCAGGUGUACAUCAUUAUAUUUUGAUUUCUGUGUAGACUACAUCAAGUUCAACAUCCAAAGACUAAUUACCGUCCAUCACCAAACACAUGUGCCCAGUUACCCCUUUUGCCCUCAUCUCUCCCCCAUUCCAAUGUGGUAACCACCAACCCAAUCUCUGUAUCUAUAUGUCGUUUGUUGUUGUUGAUGUUUUUAUCUUCUAUUUAUGAGUGAGAUCAUAUGGUAUUUGGCUUUCUCUGUCUGACUUAUUUCACUUAGCAGAAUACCCUUAAGGUCCAUCCAUGUUGUCACCAGUGGCAAGAUUGCAUCUUUUUUAUAGCUGAGUAGUAUUCCAUUGCCUACAUAUACCACAACAUCUUUGGUGAUUGAUCCCUUGAUGGGCACUUAGGUUGUUUCCAAGUCUUUAUUAUUGUGAAUAAUGUUGUGAUGAAGGUAGGAGCGCAUAUGUCUUUAUGCAUUAGUUUUUCGCAUGUUCUGUGGAUAAAUACCCAGCAGUGGAAUAGCUGGAUCAUAUGGUAGCCCUAUUCUUAUUUUUUUGUGGAAUCUCCAUACGAUUUUCCAUAGUGGCUGCACCAAUUUACAUUCCCACCAGCAGCAUAUGAGAGUUCUGUUUUCUACACAUUCUCUCUAGUGCUUGUUAUUUUUUGUCUUGUUAAUUAUAGUCAUUCUGAUUGGCGUGAGGUGAUAUCUCAUUGUAGUUUUGAUUUGCAUUUCCCUAAUUAGUG